RNAcentral lists this ribosomal RNA (496 nucleotides) under uncultured bacterium. RNAcentral's name for it is "partial 16S ribosomal RNA". It matches the Rfam family "Bacterial small subunit ribosomal RNA", at positions 31 to 507 of the family's 1533-position model. The record is from RNAcentral.
AGGAAAGAUGGCGGAGUGCCUAAUACAUGCAAGUCGAGCGAACGGACGAGAAGCUUGCUUCUCUGAUGUUAGCGGCGGACGGGUGAGUAACACGUGGAUAACCUACCUAUAAGACUGGGAUAACUUCGGGAAACCGGAGCUAAUACCGGAUGAUAUUUUGAACCGCAUGGUUCAAAAGUGAAAGACGGUCUUGCUGUCACUUAUAGAUGGAUCCGCGCUGCAUUAGCUAGUUGGUAAGGUAACGGCUUACCAAGGCAACGAUGCAUAGCCGACCUGAGAGGGUGAUCGGCCACACUGGAACUGAGACACGGUCCAGACUCCUACGGGAGGCAGCAGUAGGGAAUCUUCCGCAAUGGGCGAAAGCCUGACGGAGCAACGCCGCGUGAGUGAUGAAGGUCUUCGGAUCGUAAAACUCUGUUAUUAGGGAAGAACAUAUGUGUAAGUAACUGUGCACAUCUUGACGGUACCUAAUCAGAAAGCCACGGCUAACUACGUG